AUGAGCCUCACUAUCUUUUGUGUGACUCUUUGUCUCCUGGGAGAAGGCCCCAUGGAUGCUGCAAUCACCCAGAUGCCAAGAUACCAUAUUAUACAAACAGGAACCAAGAUGACCCUGGAAUGUUCCCAGGAUAUGAACCAUUUUGCAAUGUUCUGGUAUCGACAAGACCCAGGACAUGGGCUGAGGCUGAUCCAUUAUUCAAGUGGUACCACAAGCACUGUCAAAGGGGAUGUCGCAGAAGGGUACAGUGUCUCCCGAAACAAGCAGGAGCAUUUCCCCCUGACCCUGGAGUCUUCCAGCACCAACCAGACCUUUCUGUACCUCUGUGCCAGCAGUGAAUCCACAAUGCUGCUCAGCCACCUGCACAAAAAGCUCAACCACAAGCCUGGAAGAUACUCCUUCCUGAGAUCCUGCCUCAUAAUGGGGAAAAAACUGCCCUUACUGAGGUUUUCACCUGACUUCCUAGCACUGGGAUCUCAGGCUGGGGGGGCGGGUGUGGGGGGGAGCCUUGAGCAGGAUGACCCUCAGUGUGAACUGUGCUCCAUCAUUGUGCGAGGGGGUGUGAAAGUAGAUGCAAAGAGCACCUAA
This is a non-coding RNA of Callorhinus ursinus (northern fur seal), 588 nucleotides long. The record is from the annotation of a RefSeq genome assembly. Lineage: Eukaryota; Metazoa; Chordata; Mammalia; Carnivora; Otariidae.